CUAGUCAAAUUUAAAAAAUAAUAAUAACAAAUAAAAGAAAUAAAUAAACACAACCUCCAAGGAAUAAAGAACUUGGGAGAGGGAACAGAAUUAUGUCACAUGAAAAACUUAUCCGAUUAGCCCAACAGAUUGCUCUCUCACUUUCCAAGGUUUGUAGUAUCUUUCCUUGGGGCCGAAAGAUAAGAUGGUUGUACAAACCAUCCCCUGGGGGUGUCCUGGCCCACAGGGCACAGGCUGCAUCUUGUACACACUGAACAGCUAUGAACCCUGUUUCCCCUUUCCCCAGAUCACUGCUCUGCCAGGUAGGAACACUCCCUAAGGACCAGCGGCUCCACCCAUCCUCCUCCCACCUUCUAGCAGAUGAGGAUCACUGAGGGGGAGCAAAACAAGGCUGAUGCUCUGCUCUCCACAGGAAGUGCUCUGAGUUCCAGCUCCUCACCAGCCCUGCAUAGGGGACAAGCUACACAGCCCCAUCAGUCACAGGAGGGGGCCAGAGCCCCCUCCCAUUACCUUUCCUGUCCCACAAGCCUAACGUGAACUAUCUUUCUUCUGGUCUUCGGCUUCUAUUAGCAGAGGGAAAAGGAGUCUUUUUAAGAGACAAUACGAUGAGUCACUCAAUAAAAUAAAAGGAAGAAAAGAAACACUGUCACUUAUUUAGCUUCCAUACAUGGGCACUGGAAUUUAGGUGUGGUGGCAGAAAUCAAAUGUUGCAAUGCCUGGCUUGGAACUAUCUCCAGGAUGCAAAGCCGGCACUCCUCAGAACACCUUUUGCCUCUAUCGAUAAUUCUGGAAAGUGGCAUAAACAUACACAUGGUCUCCAUUCCCACGUCUGGCUGCCUAUCCCAACAUCUUGAGGUCUCCCAGGCUUCCUGCAUGGCAAGGGGCCUGGGGCCAUCACAGCCAUGCGUCUCCCAGGAUUUAGGCCCACCACUGGGAUGGUCUUGGGGUCAGGGAUUUCCCCUGAGCCAGGCUGCCCAUGGUACCCCAGCAUCAAGAAGCUCUCUCAGCAGCUGAACAAAGUGUCUUUUAUUUGUGACAUACAAAUACGACCAAUGCAAAAGAGAUCACUUUUUCCCUUUGAUUCCAGUGAUAACAAGUAGCUAAAGAAAAAAAUAUAUAUCAAGUUUAUCUUCCAAUUUUCCUCUAAAAGAACCAGAAAGGGUUAUUAAAAAGAACCAUACACAUGUCAUUGAUAUAUUUGACAUCAUAAAAAUAACCUGAAAUAGGGUGGAUAAAACAAUAACAACAACAAAAAACUUUAAAAAUAUUUUAACAUUCCCCAAACAAAAAAACCUGGUACAAAAGGCCUGCUAUGUUUCUCAAAACCAAGACCUGGGAGACGUGGAGGAAAAAAUAUUUGAGAAAUUACUGGGCUCACCACCCAGAGUGAUUUGCUGGUCACAGAAAGUGCCUCUCUGGCCCAGUCCCGACAUCCUGAGGAGUCCUUUGGGACUCAGCCUCCAGCUGGGGUGCGCAGGGCAGGCCCCAGGCACCCUGUCUACCAUUGGGCUUGGUGCCAGUAGUCUAUGACUGGGAAGAAACAAUAUAUGUGGAACUCAUCUUACAUGGGAUUUAUACUGGGGGUUCCUUUUGGUCCUCUUGAGUGGGAGGUACCAGAAAACCAUGAUCUAAGACAAUAAAUAGUUAUCAGUAUCCUUUGAGAGACAGGGGUCAGAGGGAAACAGUCUCUAAACAUGCUCUGUCAUUUCAUGAUUCCUGGAAGGUGUCUACAAAUCCCCUUCCAGCAUGGCCAACCUUCACCUGUGGUAAGAUUUCUAGGGAGCCAGCAGGUGGGGCAAAGGUAAACUUAUUCCAGUGUAAAGCUGCAAGGCCCCUCCAAAGAGUGCCCAGUCCCACUGCUGGUGGGAUCAAGAGCAGUGUAGGGUGCUCAGCAGAGAGGCAGGCUGGGCGAGGAAGGCCCCCGUAGAGGCAGGAAUCCAUGUUGAGAAGUUGGGUCAGCCCUGGGAAGACCUGCCAGGACAGACUGGCCUGAGUCAGGGCAGAGGGUGGGGCCUGAGCACCCUACAAGAGCAGCUUCCUAGAGACUAGAGUCUUUACCAUCCUCCUCAAAGCAGAGCUUAGAGAGGACCGAGGGAAGAGGUUAGGUGCUCUUUCCUGGAUAAGGAUUUGGUUGUUCUUCCCUGGAAGAGGAACGAGGCCUAGAUCAGGGUGAGCAUAAGUUCUGAGCCUGCAUGCUCCCUAUCCUAUGAGAGAAGAGGAAGGCAAUCUCCUCCCCCUACUCCAGCCUUCUGCCAUAGGAUGAUUCCAGAGAGAAAAGCAGCUGUUCUGGUCACUGAGAGGCAUUCCUGCUGCUGCUUCU
Molecule: long non-coding RNA, 2320 nt
Organism: Tupaia belangeri chinensis (Chinese tree shrew)
Lineage: Eukaryota; Metazoa; Chordata; Mammalia; Scandentia; Tupaiidae
Exons: 3
Source: RefSeq, a predicted model, not a curated record